CGUACCGAGCGGACCGUGCUCUCCCUCAGAAGCGGGCGCGCCGUCCUUCACUCGCGGCCCAAGUACGAGCUACAUAGAGACCUCAGAGGUCAUUUUAUUCGGCCUAACGAAAGAUAGGGACCUACCCGGCAGAUGAUCGAGGAGAAAAACCGUCUUUUCAAGUGACUGAAUGCUUAGGUCCCGCAGUGAGGGGGUUGAUCCUCAGCCCCGUCAGGAGGCGCAAUUUUACAGGAUCGAAAACGCCAUGUGCUCCUCUCUAGAGCUACGGAGAGGAAAGGAUCUGAAGAAUGCAGAAGCUGAUGUGGUGCCUUACAGAUCCACAACCAGAAAAGAUAAAACAGAAUGGGACCACUUGCAUGGGACUUUUUUGUGAGUUCAUGCUGUCUCAGGAAGGACUGCAGCCACUGUGCAUCGAAGUACACACAACCAAAAUUCAUGGAAACCAUUUAGAGGCAAGGGAGAAUUUUGGGUAGUUUCUCCAGGUGAAAGGAGUCAAGACUGUUGUGUAGAAAAUACCAGUUCCUCCCCAACGCUGCAGUGAACAAAUCUAGGAGAGGAAAUAACAUCGACCUAUACGCCUCUGUGUUGAUUUUUAGCUCCAGGUGUGGCACUGGCAGUCAGAUUUUAGGCUGAAACUGCUCUGCUUUGUGUUUGCAGUGCAAGUUCUGAGGGCUCUGGAUGAAAGCAAGAGAAUGGCUUCCAGAAUACACUCUAAAGCAGACAUUCCUGUCUCAUGGAGAAGUCUAGGUUAAAAAAAAUAUAUUUAAGAGGAAGAGUUCUUGUUUUUAAAGACAUUUCUUACUGUUUUUAAAUCUACAGCAAAAGGAUUCUUUUGCAGCUUUUGUCUUUGUUGUCUGUAAAAGUCUAUGAACAGAAUAUUGCUAUUGUUAAAUGCAUUAAUUAGAUAUUAUUAGGUACUAAUUUUUUGUUACAUAAAUAUAAUAACCACAGUUGUAGUGAAGCAGAGAUAUCUAUAGAUAACAUUAUAUUAUGUUAAGCAGCUAUUUACAUUUAUUUAUUUAUUUAUUAAAUGUAGACUUGAACUGAAUAGAAUUCCUGAGGAGUCACUUUGAAAAUUUAGGACACAAAUUUUCCAAGCUAACAGAAUUUAAGGAGUUUUAUUCUCCUUCAGGAAAGGAGGAGAUAAAAAGGGUUUUUGUUUUUUUUUAGUUUCUAAAAAUAAAAAGUGAUUUUACCUAAAAAGUUUCUGUGCUUUACCUGACCUCAGGUUCUGAUGAAAGUUCAGUCUCUCAUUAUUAGCUUUCCUUAAACUGAAUGUCCUGGCCUGAAUGUGAGCUACUUUCCACAGAUUAGAAUUAGGCUUCUUCCAGUUAUAAUGCAUAUGACUCCUAAUAGCAGUAUGUAUUUUUAAAACCAAACUGGUGAAGUUGUGGCACUUUACAUACCUCAGUAUUUUUUCCAUGGAAUAACAUGUUCAAAAAAACCCAGACUAUGAAGGAAGAAUAAAGCAACACUUCUUCAGUCUUACUAAUCAGGAAAUUUUCAGAGAGAACAUGCAAAUCAGAAUAAAUUUAAAGUUAGGUUUUUCUGUUACUAAAUAAUUGAUGGUUGCAAAGCAGCUAUUAGGUUUAUGAGAUUAAUACAAAUACCUCUACAUAUAAAAACCAGUUUGUAAUUAAUUUUCCUUUCCUUUUUCUACCCCCCCCCCCAAAGAAGCUUUAUGUGUUAGACAGUGUAAGAAUGUUCAUUUAAGUUUCCAGUAAUUUUUACAAUAACCUAGCCUAGUAACUGUCUACCAGUUACCCCUUGUAUGUUGCACAGGAAACUUUACAUGCUUGCUAAUGAUAAAAUCUAUUUUAAUGUGAAUUGUAACUUUUAAUUUUGAGAAAAACAUAUAUAUAUAUAUAUAUAUAUACACACUAUGUACUGUAUUUUGAAUAUUUGGAAUUAUUUUUGAUUGUUAUUUCAUUAUCACCUUUGUACAUUUGACAUUAAAUGCAAGCAGAUUUGACCUAAAAAUCAUCUUCUACACCCUUUUCAGACUUUUGGUGUACAUUCAGAGGACCUAAAUAUAGAGAGUUUUGAACUGCUAAUGAUCCAUCCAACAUUAUCUAUAGACAGGAUGGAGCACAGUCACUGAAAUGUCAUACAGAUUUGAGUUUUGAGAUUUCAGUGUGCUUUCUUCUAAUGUGUCAAAAUCAUUAUUUCUGUUCUGCAUUGAAACCUUAAAUGGAUAAAUGGUUGCAAAUGAACUUUGGGAACCUAAUGUUCAUUUGUUUAUUUAAAGAUCAUGCCUUUCUUUCACAACCCCACUUGAAAAUUCAGGAGAAUUAAAUUUAUUUUUCAGGAUCUCCUCAGUAAAUUUCCUGCCAUGGAGCUGUUUCCUAAGCUUUGAUAGAACAUUCCACAGCUGAAACCUGAAAGGUGUGGCAGGAUUUUUUGAAGAUGCUGUGAGGGACAGUGACACUCAAAGGUGUCACAGGAAGUGUGAAUAUGGAAGGUGGUCAGUUCACUGCCUCAUUUUUGAGAGUCCUUUGCACCAGCAGAACACAGGGCCUGUAGAAAUUAGCAGCAGGCUUCUUACUUGAGAAAUGGAUAAUAAGAAUGCAUGUUAGGUUUCUAAACAUCAGGGGAUCUGGUUCACAAAGCCGUGUCCAAGGCACUGCUUGAGGUCCAGGUCAGUUUGACUAAUUUCAUUCCAUACUGUAAGAUGUGUAAUUGCCUGUAAAUACCUCAGAGAUAGGUUGGUGGCGUUCUGUGAAUAAUUAAAAUAAAUACACACAAAAUUUAGUUUUAAUAGCAUUUUGAAGAUAGAAUCAUAUUCUUGCCCCCAAUGCACUUUCUCUGAUAUGCAGAGCAUCAAGGUCUCUAAAAAGAAAUCUGCCUUUCAUGGGCUAAAAUAACUUCUAGCUUGUGUUAUAAUAAAGAACCAGCAUGCACCAGAGGAAAUUGGAGAGAUUUUAAAUAUUCCAAAGCAAAGUCGAGCAGGAGCCACAGGGUGCCGCUAUUCUGCCAAAUAAGGAACAUUUCCUGCAUUUAAUUGCCCGGUGAAUUUGGGACAGAAGGAAAAGUUGCGGCGAUAACCUCGCAAGAGCUCAGGAGUGAUUUUGCAUCCCGACGACUCCCCUUGGGUAAUUUUAGGGGGUGUAGUGCGACUGCUCGACUGCAAUCAGUGAAGUGAUUAAAAUGAGGAGUGAAAUUCCUCAGAAUGACAGAAGGGAGUGAAACACAGAGGCAGAGCCAGACAAGCUCCAAACAACUCUUCCUUUCUGCUCUUAACGCCACACAAAAUUCGGAUCAGAUGCUGUAGUCUAUGGUUUAAUUAGUGUGUGCUGUAUUUAGACAGGCUCCUAACAUUUUGAAGUUGAUCCCCCCAAGAUCUGGAAGCUCCACCUGUUCUGGUGUUUUACACACAGAGUUCCUAAUUUAAAAUCUUGCCUAAUUCCUGAGCUGCAAAUGCCUUCUUGGCAGCCUUGUCCUUCUGUACCUGGGAGAAGAUGAGGUUAAGUAUUAAAUUUUCCAGCAUUGCUUAAAGAAAAACUGGUCUGCACUGACUGAGUAAAUGUGUAUUGAAGUGGCCUGACAGAUAAUGACUCUCUUGGUCAACAGAAAUUAUUUAUUCUAUUGCUUUAAAACCAGAGCUGCAAGUACCUUGUUAGGGAAAUUGUGGUGCCUUGCAGUUGCUUCUUGUAGUAACCCCAAAGUGAUUAAGUGCUUCUUCAUCUUUAUACUGAUUUUGUAAUGCCUUGCAGUGAUAAUUUUGAAGAAUAGCAGUUUCUCCUGCUUUUUAAUAGCUACCUUGCUGAGGAGAAUGUAAUUACUUUUCCCUAACUUGCUGUAAAAAUAUGACAAAUAGAAGAUUGUCCUACCUCAGCUCACUGCAGUACCUGAAUUUUUUGGAUUUAUUAAUUUCUGUGGUUUACACUUCUCAACUAAGAACUGGAACCUGCCUCCCAUAUCUUCUACUGAGAUUCUAAACUAGGAAUGGAAACCAGGCCUCAGCACCUCCUCAUGGCAUUUUUUUAUUUUUAAAUUACAAAAAAAUACAUUUCAAGUAACUUUGCAGUGGGUAGAACACUGUCAAAUAUACUUCCAAAACAGCUGCUAGGAAAAAGUCAUGGAGUGCAAGAGAGUGGGAUUAGCUGGGCUAAAAUAUACCAGAACCACCUAUGUGGUAUUUGGGAUUCAGAACUUAAGGGGUGGUGAACACUAGAAUAAGAAUUGAAGCACAAACAGAUAAAAUUAUUUUAAUCUUGCACUUAUUCCUAUUUAAAUAUAUAAUUACCUUCUUUAUAAACUCCCCACCUGUCUCCAGAAUUAAACAUAAAUAUAAUUAAGAAAGAUUUUAUUUGUCUGUAUUCAGUAACAUACAGUAUUUCUAGUAUAAUUCAAUAAAAUUCUGCAAACUUCCCCACUCCUCCAAAACUAUUAGGCAAAUGUUAGAAGAGUACUACUGAAAAUAAUGAAUGUAGCAAUUACAAACCAUUAUAGAUUCCAUGGGCACACGAUUUCAUCUGCUGAAAGUAAUCAGACAUACAAAAACAGUGAGAAAAAUGUUGUUCGUAUUAUUUAUUUGACCAGUUUUUCAGACAAUUUACAGCCAAAGAAAAUGUCUGCAAGCCUGAUGUCAUUCUGC
Molecule: long non-coding RNA, 4597 nt
Organism: Passer domesticus (house sparrow)
Lineage: Eukaryota; Metazoa; Chordata; Aves; Passeriformes; Passeridae
Exons: 3
Source: RefSeq, a predicted model, not a curated record